AGGAGGUGGGAGGAUCGCUUGAACCCAGGAGGCGGGGGUUGCAGUGAGCCAAGAACAUACCACUGUACUCCAGCCUGAGUGGCAGAGCAAAACUCCGUUUCAAAAAAACAAAACAAAACAAAACUGUGGGCCUUGAUGUUCAAGUCGAUAAUUCCAGCCUCUGUGGAGCUGGUGUCCUCAGGGCUUGCCAUGUCCUUUUUUAUCAACUAUUCUGGCUUAAUUUUUGGCUUCUCCUGGUUGGCCAUUUCCAAAGACAAGUGUCUUUUCCCAAUGUUAUCAACCUUCUCAAUUCUGGGAAAGUUCUGGUAGUCUUUGAGCAGCGUACAAGGGGACAGGUCAUCAUCUUGGCUGGGCUGGACUGGUUUCUGGAUGGCAUAUCCACAGGUGGCCUGGAGGAAGAAACUUGGAGGAUACCAGCACCACUGGUUGGAAGGAAGCCUGGUGCUCCCUCCUUUUGGCUUCUCAAAAACUGGAGCUUGGGUCUCAGUGGAACUUAGCACCUUUCACACAGCCCUUGGCAUGGUGACUUCUGACCCCCAAGGGGCCAGGGCAGCUGUCCCUUUCACAGCACGGACUCAGUUACAUGAGUGCCACCACAUAUCUUCCUACUUGCUUUACUAGCUGUUGGAAAGGGGUAUUGAAAUCUCCAGCUAUAAAUAUGGAUUUGUCUAUCAGUUAUUUUGAGCACGUUUCUAGAUGUGCAGGUUGUAUAAUGAGAGCCUAUAAUUGAGGCAUAUAUUUUGCCUGAUUUAUGUAGUUGCUACUUACGAUUCAGUUGCUGUAGCCAAAGAAGAGGUGACUUUUAAUUUACCAUUCUUAUAGGCAAAGAAGUCAAUUUUUCCUUUCUAAGUACUUACUGAGAUAUCAUUUUGUUGUUCUGCAGUUGGCUGGUUUCUACCUCCUGUCCUAUUCUUAGAUCUGUAGUUCUGUGUUUUGAGAGGCAAAUAAAAUCCAAGAAAAUCUGUGAUGGUAAAGAUAAGCUGAAAGUUUCCAUCAUGAACUAAAGCCUGAUACCGAAGGAACUAUGUGUAAAAUUUGGAAACAUCUGGACAAAGCAUUCACUUUGGAGUUGUGUAUACUGGAGAAUACACACAGGCAGCAAGACACAUACUCAGAAAAGACCCAAGAUAUACCUUAACUAUACCCUGGGCUGAUCUCAAAUUUUCUAUCUUAAAUAUGGCUUUUUAAAACAUUUGGUGUUCUCUUGGUUGCAGCUGCUUUUCAGAGCUCCUAUAAAUUUAUUUCAGCCAGUCUAGUUGUUUUUUUGACGUUUCCAUGGGGAAAAUGAGAGCUUAGAUCUUAAUUCUCUACUUUGCUAAUGUCAGUCUCUUGGUCCUUUAUUCCUUAUUCUCUCUAUCCUUUCAGGAGACAGGAAUCAAAAUGAGAUGGCAACUCUUCACAAAGCAGGAUUAAGGUGCUUUUCACUGGGAGAGCUUUCAUGCUGGCAAAUCAAGAGACACAUUGUGAGCAAAUUAGCCAGAAGUCAAGACUCCAUGAUAAAUAUUGAAGGAAAGAGCUCUCAGUUCCCCAAGCACCAUGAUUCCCCCUGUCAAGUGGGAGCAGGAGAAUCUAUUCAAGCUUCUGUGGAUGACAACUGUCUAGUGAAUCACAUAGGGGAUCAUUCCAGUAUCAUUGAAAAUCAAGAAUUUCCAACUGGGAAAGUUCCAAAUUCUUGGAGUAAAAUAUAUCUGAAUGAGACACAGAAUUAUCAGAGAAGUUGUAAGCAGACUCAGAUGAAAAACAAAUUAUGUAUAUUCGCUCCAUAUGUUGACAUUUUCAGUUGUAUUUCACACCACCAUGAUGAUAAUAUAGUGCACAAAAGAGAUAAAGUUCAUAGCAAUAGUGAUUGUGGUAAAGAUACCCUAAAGGUAUCACCUCUUACCCAGCGUAGUAUUCACACAGGACAGAAAACCUACCAGGGUAAUGAAUGUGAAGAAGCCUUCAAUGAUAGCUCCAGUCUUGAACUUCAUAAGCAGGUACACUUGGGAAGGCAGUCUCCAGCGUGUAGUACACAUGAGAAGGACACCAGUUAUAGCUCAGGUAUUCCUGUUCAACAAAGCGUUCGUACUGGGAAAAAACGCUAUUGGUGUCAUGAAUGUGGUAAAGGUUUCAGUCAGAGCUCAAAUCUGCAAACUCAUCAGAGAGUCCACACAGGGGAGAAACCCUAUACAUGCCACGAGUGUGGUAAGAGCUUUAAUCAGAGCUCACAUCUUUAUGCUCAUUUGCCUAUUCACACAGGAGAGAAGCCCUAUAGAUGUGACAGUUGUGGGAAGGGCUUCAGUCGUAGCACAGAUCUUAACAUUCAUUGCAGAGUUCACACUGGAGAGAAACCUUAUAAAUGUGAGGUGUGUGGGAAGGGCUUCACUCAGAGAUCACAUCUCCAGGCCCAUGAAAGAAUUCACACUGGAGAGAAACCAUAUAAAUGUGGGGAUUGUGGUAAACGCUUUAGUUGUAGCUCAAAUCUUCAUACCCAUCAGCGAGUCCACACUGAAGAAAAACCAUACAAAUGUGAUGAGUGUGGUAAGUGCUUUAGUUUGAGCUUUAAUCUUCAUAGUCAUCAACGAGUCCACACAGGAGAAAAACCAUAUAAAUGUGAAGAGUGUGGUAAGGGUUUUAGUUCAGCCUCAAGUUUCCAGAGCCAUCAGAGGGUCCAUACAGGAGAGAAACCAUUUCGAUGCAACGUGUGUGGGAAAGGCUUCAGUCAGAGUUCAUACUUUCAAGCACAUCAGAGAGUCCACACUGGAGAAAAACCAUACAAAUGUGAAGUGUGUGGGAAGCGCUUCAAUUGGAGCUUGAAUCUUCACAAUCAUCAGAGAGUCCACACCGGAGAGAAACCCUACAAAUGUGAAGAGUGUGGUAAGGGUUUCAGUCAGGCCUCAAAUCUUCAAGCCCAUCAGAGCGUCCACACUGGGGAAAAACCAUUCAAGUGCGAUGCAUGUCAGAAGCGAUUCAGUCAGGCCUCACACCUUCAAGCCCAUCAGAGAGUCCACACCGGAGAGAAACCAUAUAAAUGUGACACUUGUGGUAAGGCCUUCAGCCAGAGGUCAAAUCUUCAAGUCCAUCAGAUAAUUCACACUGGAGAGAAACCAUUUAAAUGUGAGGAAUGUGGGAAAGAAUUCAGUUGGAGUGCUGGUCUCAGUGCCCAUCAGAGGGUCCACACGGGAGAGAAACCCUAUACGUGUCAGCAGUGUGGGAAGGGCUUCAGUCAGGCCUCACAUUUUCACACACACCAGAGAGUCCACACUGGAGAGAGGCCUUACAUAUGUGAUGUCUGUUGUAAGGGCUUCAGUCAGAGGUCACAUCUCGUCUACCAUCAGAGAGUCCACACUGGAGGGAAUCUGUAGAAAUGAGAGGUGUGGUUCAGCCUUCAGUUAGAGCUCACAUCUUUGUCUCCGCUGGGAAGUCCAUGCUGAUGAUUGUGAAAAGUUCCUUUAAAACUAGAAGCUUCAAAGAAUCUUGACAGGAAAGAAGUCUCUCAAAUGCUGUGUUUUAGACUUGGUUAGGACAUGAAUUCUUUACAAACAUCAUAUUUCACAGAUGCGAGAAAACUUUGUUCUGUAAAUAUGAUCAGUGUUUAUAUCAGAGUACCAUGUGUCCCAGUUCUCAAGAUGUAACACAGCAGAAAAGUCUUGUCGGCGUCUGCCCAGGAGAGAGGCCUUCCUUUAACAAAAGUAUGAUUGACAGAAAAAAUGGAUGUCAACUAAAAUGUAACCUCUAUGUAAGGAGGUGUUUUUCACCACUCUAUCUCUACCAUGUAGAAUUGUGCUUGGCUCAUAAUAGGGCCCAGCAAUUUACUGAAGAAAGUGAAGAAAAUACCUAUAAUUAGGACAAAUACUUGAAAAUUCUAGUCUGUUUUCUACUCUAAAUUUAUAUUAAUUUAUAUUCAAAAGGAAUCCUGCAAGUAGCCUUAAUAACGUUAGUUUCAGUAAGUACUGAAAAGUAUAUAAUACUGCCAUCCAUACUAACACAAAUUUGGAAAAAAGACAUGAAUGGCUCCCAUCCUUCAGCCUUAGUUCUUUGUACAGUGUAUCAUCAGUUGUGUACAGUAUGAUUUUUAGUGCCAUUAGUUUAUAGACUGAACAAUACUGUUUUUAUCUAAUGUGACCCUGCAAUUUACAUGAUUGGAAUUUUUGGACACUAAGCUGUACUGUAACUCUGAAAGUGUUAAAAGUAGUUACUGAUGACAAAAAGUUUCUUAGUAAACUUGAAUUGUUAAUA
RNAcentral lists this small RNA (4218 nucleotides) under Pan troglodytes (chimpanzee). Its description in RNAcentral is "retained intron". The record is from RNAcentral. Lineage: Eukaryota; Metazoa; Chordata; Mammalia; Primates; Hominidae.